CUCUUCGAUGUUCUGGGCUGCACGCGCGCUACAGUGGCAAAGACAGGGAGCAUGAAUUAAUUAUAGAGUCGCAUCGAGGGAUGUGACGAAUCAGCAAUCGUUGUCGUGAUUGGGAUUGAGCGUUGUAAUAUUUGCUCAUGAAAGAGGAAUUCCUCGUAAGCGCGAGUCACUAACUCGUGUUAAUUACGUCUCUGCCCUUUGUACACACCGCCCGUCGCUACUACCGAUUGAACUGGUUUUUGAAGUGUAGAGAUUGGCAGGCAUGGUUUACGUGCAUUGCAAAGAACCACUCUGAAAAAAUCGUUCGAGAAGAAGUAAAAGUCGUAACA
Molecule: ribosomal RNA, 329 nt
Filed under: uncultured eukaryote
Lineage: Eukaryota
Description: partial 18S ribosomal RNA
Rfam family: Eukaryotic small subunit ribosomal RNA
Source: RNAcentral